Dioscorea cayenensis subsp. rotundata (Guinea yam) is the source of this 1641-nucleotide RNA transcript. It is a transcript of the gene named serine/arginine-rich-splicing factor SR34-like, with no coding region annotated. The record is from RefSeq and is a predicted model, not a curated record. The transcript is spliced from 14 exons. NCBI's taxonomy places the organism in Eukaryota, Viridiplantae, Streptophyta, Magnoliopsida, Dioscoreales, Dioscoreaceae.
UCUCGCACCCUCAAAACCCUCGCGGUCUCGAGCCAUUGUUCCCUGGUUAUCGCCUCCCGGAAUCCAUCGUCAAGAAAGCAUGAGUAGCCGCGGAAGCAACCGAACCAUUUAUGUUGGGAACCUCCCGGGUGAUAUCCGUGAGAGGGAAGUUGAGGAUUUGUUUCACAAGUAUGGACCCAUUGUUGAUAUUGAUCUCAAGGUUCCACCAAGGCCUCCAGGUUAUGCAUUCAUUGAGUUUGAAGAGGCACGGGAUGCUCAAGAUGCCAUUCGUGGUCGGGAUGGCUAUAACUUUGAUGGUCACAGAUUGCGGGUGGAAGUUGCACAUGGUGGAAGAGGACACUCUUCUUCAAUUGACCGCCAUAGCUAUAGAGGUGGUGGGGGUGGCCGAGGUGGUGUUUCUAGGCGCUCAGAAUAUCGUGUUAGGGUUACGGGGCUUCCGUCCUCAGCUUCAUGGCAAGACCUAAAGGACCAUAUGCGUUUAGCUGGUGAUGUUUGCUUCUCCCAAGUUUUUAGUGAGUCUGGAGGCACUGUAGGAAUUGUUGAUUACACAAACUAUGAUGAUAUGAAAUAUGCGAUCAGGAAACUUGAUGACUCUGAGUUCCGUAAUGCAUUUUCUCGGGCAUAUAUCAGAGUUAAGGAGUACAAACAAAGUUUAUCCAGGAGCCGCAGUCGCAGCCGUUCCUACUCAAGAAGUCGAAGUCGUAGUAACAGCCGCAGCCGCAGUCGCAGUCGCAGUCAGAGCAAAUCUCCAAAAGCUAAGUCGGCACGUCGGUCUAAAUCUCGUUCUAGAUCUGUUGCUUCACGUUCCCGUUCAGGGUCAAGGGGACCGUCAUUGUCAGGAUAAGGGCUUAUGCGGCGAUCUGGGGAUUGCAUUUUAGGAACUUGAUCAGGAUACAAUGGAAAUGGAUAGAGCUCCUUGGUUGUGUGAGGUAUGCUGUUUCACAAAUGAGCAGCUUUGGAAACCAAAACUUACCAUGAUUGUCAUACCUUUGUGUAUUACGCCUAAUCCCAAUAGGAGCGGAAUGAGAGAAAAAUAGAAGGGAUGGAUUGCUUUUAAAGCGCUGGAUAACAGUGAACUAAGUGGAAUUGGAAUGCGCAAGUCAGCGAUAGGGGAAUUUCACCUUGCUAAUAGGCAUUGCUCCCAGGAGAGUUGUGAUGUGGAAUUAAAUGGUACAGUUAGAGAUAACUUCAAUAUGGAUAACUUCUGCACCUUAAGUUUAUUUGCAUUAGCCACAGCUUCAUUUACAUGAUAUACUUGUCACUAUUUCUUCUUUUGAAUAUUGGCCCUUGGUAGCUGUUCAAAUUUUAGAAAUUACUACCAAUUCAUUCUGUUUUAAAACAAUGGUGUUGCUGAACUUUUAUGGUUUCACAUUUGUGCUUUCCUCUGCGGUUAUAUCCAACGUGGAAGUGGCCUCGGUGCUUUUGGAUCAAGGCGUUAAAAGCCAAAGUUGUGGAUUAUUGAAUUCUCUUGUUUCUGGAACUUUUUUUGCAGAUCCCGAUCCCGAUCCAGAUCUCCUGUUGCUUCCCCCCCUCGCAACAAACGACCCAGCAAGAGCCCUGCUCGGAGCAAGAGCCGAUCACUCUCUAGAUCCCCUGCUGCGAAACCUGAGGGCAGUCAAGAAAUUGGUACCGCAGAGAAUU